UAACGCGUGGGAACCUGCCCUUAGGUUCGGAAUAACAGUUAGAAAUGACUGCUAAUACCGGAUAAUGUCUUCGGACCAAAGAUUUAUCGCCUUUGGAUGGGCCCGCGUUGGAUUAGAUAGUUGGUGGGGUAAUGGCCUACCAAGUCGACGAUCCAUAGCUGGUCUGAGAGGAUGAUCAGCCACACUGGGACUGAGACACGGCCCAGACUCCUACGGGAGGCAGCAGUGGGGAAUAUUGGACAAUGGGCGAAAGCCUGAUCCAGCAAUGCCGCGUGAGUGAUGAAGGCCUUAGGGUUGUAAAGCUCUUUUACCAGGGAUGAUAAUGACAGUACCUGGAGAAUAAGCUCCGGCUAACUCCGUGCCAGCAGCCGCGGUAAUACGGAGGGAGCUAGCGUUGUUCGGAAUUACUGGGCGUAAAGCGCACGUAGGCGGCUUUUCAAGUCAGGGGUGAAAUCCCGGGGCUCAACCCCGGAACUGCCCUUGAAACUGGAUGGCUAGAAUACUGGAGAGGUGAGUGGAAUUCCGAGUGUAGAGGUGAAAUUCGUAGAUA
This 550-nucleotide ribosomal RNA is filed under the name Qipengyuania pelagi. Its description in RNAcentral is "bacterial SSU rRNA". It matches the Rfam family "Bacterial small subunit ribosomal RNA", at positions 111 to 696 of the family's 1533-position model. Lineage: Bacteria; Pseudomonadati; Pseudomonadota; Alphaproteobacteria; Sphingomonadales; Erythrobacteraceae. The record is from RNAcentral.